This 519-nucleotide ribosomal RNA is filed under the name uncultured eukaryote. RNAcentral describes it as "SSU rRNA". It matches the Rfam family "Eukaryotic small subunit ribosomal RNA", at positions 1161 to 1692 of the family's 1831-position model. The record is from RNAcentral.
AGGGCACCACGAGGAGUGGAGCCUGCGGCUUAAUUUGACUCAACACGGGAAAACUCACAUCGCCAGCACCCCUUAAGGAUUGACAAACCGAGAGCUCUUUCUUGAUUCCGUGGGUGGUGGUGCAUGGCCGUUCUUAGUUGGUGGAGUGAUUUGUCUGGUUAAUUCCGAUAACGAACGAGACUCUAGCCUGCUAAAUAGACGGGCGAUCCCGUUGUGGGUCGACCCGAUUUGCUUCUUAGAGGGACAAGUGGCGUUCCUAGCCACGCGAAAUUGAGCAAUAACAGGUCCGUGAUGCCCUUAGAUGUCCGGGGCCGCACGCUCACUUCAAUGAGGGACGCAGUGUGCCCUUCAAGCCUGACCAAAAAGGGUUGGGUAAUCAUUUCAAUUUCCCUCGUAAUAGGGAUUGAGCAUUGUAACUAUUGCUCAUGAACGAGGAAUUCCUAGUAAGCGCGAGUCAUAAGCUUGCGUUGACUACGUCCCUGCCCUUUGUACACGCCGCCCGUCGCUACUACCGAUUGA